Lycium ferocissimum is the source of this 970-nucleotide long non-coding RNA. RefSeq lists it as uncharacterized. Lineage: Eukaryota; Viridiplantae; Streptophyta; Magnoliopsida; Solanales; Solanaceae. The record is from RefSeq and is a predicted model, not a curated record. The transcript has 3 exons.
CGAAGACUUAAAAGGCGAGGUUGUCGUCAAGGUCAUAAGGAAUUAUUCAUGCUCAUUCUUCAUACAUGAGAGCUUGAUAUCAUGUUUAGUAAGUAUCGGGAAGGUUAGAUGUUAAGCGAAUUGAAGAAAUUAAGUUUGUUGAAACUUUGGGAAAAUUCGGCAGAAUUUCGGACAGAAAUUUUGGGUCAACUUUGGGGAGGCAUAUCUCCUAGAAUACAAGGAGUUACAGAUCCCAUAACCUAUGCUUUCAUAAGUUCAGCGAGUCUACUUUCCAACACAACUGACAGAUCCGAAUUCCCAUAUCAAUUCUGGGAGUUAUGGGCCGUUGAAGUGUCGACGAUCCGUCGAAGCACAUCGACGACCCGUCAAUUUUCAGGCAGUGCAGCUGAUGUAUAAAUGCAUCUAUUUCGUGAUUUUUUUUUCAUUUCAACUCACACCAAUAGACCCUAAACUCUCCCUAAUGCUCAUCAACCCUUUCCCAACCUUUCUUUAUCAUCCAAGUAAGAUCCGAGCCUCGAAAACCCGAGCUAGUGAAGGGGAAGUUGUUCCUAGGGUUUCUAUUGAAGUUGUUGAGCUUAGGAGUUGGAUUUGAAGUUUAGUUCUUGGAAUUCCAGCCCCUUUAAGUGUUACAAGCUCGGGAAAUAAGCAUCGGACAUUAGGUAGACUCCAAGGUUCAGGUAGAUAGAGAGACGAUCCAGCUCAGUAGGACUUCCCCUUAGCUGUUUGGUGAGCUCCACUUGAUCCGGAGCUGCGGUCCAUUUUGGUAGGCUAUUUUGAGAUGUAUAUACAUGUAUAUGGGUAUGGCGGGGCCCUGUCCCGUCCUUUCUAUAGCUUUCUAUUCCAUUAGAGGUUUGUAGACAGUUGUAUGUAGUUGGUACAUGAUGUAGCCUUGUCGGCUCUUAUUCUUUUAAGUACAGCAUAUAUAGCAGCCUAGUCGGCUUGUACUGUUACUUCGGUAUUUUGCCUAUAU